This 388-nucleotide ribosomal RNA is filed under the name uncultured bacterium. RNAcentral's name for it is "bacterial SSU rRNA". It matches the Rfam family "Bacterial small subunit ribosomal RNA", at positions 30 to 420 of the family's 1533-position model. The record is from RNAcentral.
AUUGAACGCUGGCGGCAUGCCUUACACAUGCAAGUCGAACGGCAGCGGACCUUCGGGUGCCGGCGAGUGGCGAACGGGCGAGUAAUAUAUCGGAACGUACCUUUCAGUGGGGGAUAACGUAGCGAAAGUUACGCUAAUACCGCAUAUUCUGUGAGCAGGAAAGCAGGGGAUCGCAAGACCUUGCGCUGAUUGAGCGGCCGAUAUCAGAUUAGCUAGUUGGUGAGGUAAAGGCUCACCAAGGCGACGAUCUGUAGCGGGUCUGAGAGGAUGAUCCGCCACACUGGAACUGAGACACGGUCCAGACUCCUACGGGAGGCAGCAGUGGGGAAUUUUGGACAAUGGGCGCAAGCCUGAUCCAGCCAUGCCGCGUGAGUGAAGAAGGCCUCGG